CGACAAAAUUGAAUCGGCUCUGACCGUGUAGGAGAAGUCAGCAGAGGGCAUAUUAGCCAGUGAAACGAGCCGCGUGAAUAGAAAAGCGGGGAGGUCUCACACUGGUGAAGGCC
This is a non-coding RNA of Desulfobacterales bacterium C00003106, 113 nucleotides long. The record is from Rfam. Lineage: Bacteria; Pseudomonadati; Thermodesulfobacteriota; Desulfobacteria; Desulfobacterales.